CCUAUCAGAAGCGACGGGUGUGUACACAAUGAAGGGAUGGAGGCUUCCUGAGGGCCCCAAAGCAUUUUCGUUACCAACGAGGGACCAGGGAUGCUGCAGCUGGAGAACAUUUGCUGCUGAUUCCGAGUCGCCAACAGGUAGGGAGGCCACUUCCCAUCACCACCACCACCGGCGUCAUCAUUGCUGGAGGAGGACUGCCCAACAGCAUCGCUGCUGCCUGCCAGAAGGCCCACGGCGUUGCCACUGGACAGAAGACUGCGGGGGUCUUCUGCCUCACUGCUGCUGACUUGGGGGCUUUCAGUGCCACCUGCCUGAGAGUCCUCCAUACAGUCACUGUCGGCAGAAGGGCCUCCAUCCUGCCAUCACUUUCCCAUUCCUAACAUUUCCGAGACAGUUGUUCCUUGCCCUCCACCAUGCCAUGGGUUCGUGAGGAUGACCCGGUUUGUGGUGGUGAUGGUCCAACCCCUCAGGGACUUUGUCGGACUGUUCUACAGGCCUCUGCUGUUGCUUGGGCUUGUGGGAGUGCUGGGGGCAACUGUGCCCGAUCGUCUAUCCACCGUCCUGUGUGGUUGCUUGGGACAGCUAACCACUUAGUAAUUUCUGCCGUGUGUUUAAUGCUGGUUGAUGCCCGUGUAGUGCAUUAAUAUUACAUUAACAUACACGCAGAGAAUUAUGGGGAGAAUUACUUAAAGUCUCAUCACACACACAAGUCCAGGAAGUGCUGCUACCCUCUUUUAUGCUACAAUCUUUAAACUUAAAAUGAUGUAAAACAAUUAUAUAAGAUGUCUCACGAUGAACAAGAAGAUCCAAUGUCCAAUGUCUGAGGCAACAUCCUUACAUUUUCUCACAGUGCUAUUUUGUAAGGAUGUUAUGAUUUCACUUGGAGACUGGGUUGACUAUGUAAAAUAACCUUUUCACACAAAAAAAAAACUUGAAUUCAGCACAAUAAAGAUUGAUUUAAUUCAGAACUACAACAGUUAAACAAAGUUACCUGUAACAAAAAGAUUAAGAUGUAUUCUUUCAUGCAAGACAACCAAAGAGGUCAAUCCCAAAUUUUGAUGCAGCUUUAUUUGUACGAUUAUGUUGCUGAUAUGUAGGCUGUGGUGCUUUAAGUUCUCUCAAAAGGAAAUGCCAUAGCCUUUUCAGUCAA
Long non-coding RNA from Clupea harengus (Atlantic herring), 1150 nucleotides. NCBI's taxonomy places the organism in Eukaryota, Metazoa, Chordata, Actinopteri, Clupeiformes, Clupeidae. The record is from Ensembl.